Molecule: long non-coding RNA, 1016 nt
Organism: Oncorhynchus tshawytscha (Chinook salmon)
Lineage: Eukaryota; Metazoa; Chordata; Actinopteri; Salmoniformes; Salmonidae
Source: Ensembl
AGAGGAGGCAGGUAGCCUAGUGGUUAGAGUGUAGAGGUGGCAGGUAGCCUAGUGGUUAGAGUGUAGGGACGGCAGGUAGGCUAGUGGUUAGAGUGUAGGGACGGCAGGUAGCCUAGUGGUUAGAGUGUAGGGACGGCAGGUAGCCUAGUGGUUAGAGUGUAGGGGUGGCAGGUAGCCUAGUGGUUAGAGUGUAGGGACGGCAGGUAGCCUAGUGGUUAGAGUGUAGGGACGGCAGGUAGGCUAGUGGUUAGAGUGUAGGGACGGCAGGUAGCCUAGUGGUUAGAGUGUACGGACGGCAGGUAGCCUAGUGGUUAGAGUGUAGGGACGGCAGGUAGCCUAGUGGUUAGAGUGUAGGGACGGCAGGUAGCCUAGUGGUUAGAGUGUAGGGAGGCAGGUAGUCUAGUGGUUAGAGUGUAGGGGGGGCAGGUAGUCUAGUGGUUAGAGUGUAGGGGGGUUAGGUAGCCUAGUGGUUAGAGUGUAGGGGGGGCAGGUAGCCUAGUGGUUAGAGUGUAGGGGUGGCAGGUAGCCUAGUGGUUAGAGUGUAGGGGGGCAGGUAGGCUAGUGGUUAGAGUGUAGGGGGUCAGGUAGCCUAGUGGUUAGAGUGUAGGGGGUUAGGUACCCUAGUGGUUAGAGUGUAGGGGCGGCAGGUAGCCUAGUGGUUAGAGUGUAGGGGGGGCAGGUAGUCUAGCGUGGUUAGAGUGUAGGGGCGGCAGGUAGCCUAGCGGUUAGAGUGUAGGGGCGGCAGGUAGCCUCGUGGUUAGAGUGUAGGGACGGCAGGUAGCAUCGUGGUUAGAUUGUAGGGGCGGCAACUAGCCUAGUGGUUAGAGUGUAGGGGCGGCAGGUAGCCUAGUGGUUAGAGUGUAGGGGGGGCAAGUAGCCUAGUGGUUAGAGUGUAGGGUGGUUAGGUAGCCUAGUGGUUAGAGUGUAGGUAGCCUAGUGGUUAGAGUGUAGGGGGGUUAGGUAGCCUAGUGGUUAGAGUGUAGGGGUGGCAGGUAGCCUAGUGGUUAGAGUUUAGG